RNAcentral lists this non-coding RNA (86 nucleotides) under Butyrivibrio sp. M55. Its description in RNAcentral is "c-di-GMP-I riboswitch aptamer". It matches the Rfam family "c-di-GMP-I riboswitch aptamer". Rfam says of the family: GEMM was predicted in a large-scale screen for bacterial structured RNA regulatory elements. Genes associated with GEMM are involved in a diverse array of functions, including chemotaxis regulation, signal transduction, secretion and chitin. The record is from Rfam by way of RNAcentral. Lineage: Bacteria; Bacillati; Bacillota; Clostridia; Lachnospirales; Lachnospiraceae.
CAAAAUAAAGGGCAAAGCCGCCGGAAGGCGGUGACGCAAAACUAGAGGGUCUCAAUCACGUAUGUGACAGACAGCCAGUUGCUGGC